RNAcentral lists this ribosomal RNA (429 nucleotides) under Pseudomonadota bacterium. RNAcentral describes it as "Proteobacteria bacterium partial 16S ribosomal RNA". It matches the Rfam family "Bacterial small subunit ribosomal RNA", at positions 355 to 776 of the family's 1533-position model. Lineage: Bacteria; Pseudomonadati; Pseudomonadota. The record is from RNAcentral.
UGGGGAAUGUUGGACAAUGGGCGAAAGCCUGAUCCAGCCAUGCCGCGUGUGUGAAGAAGGUCUUUGGAUUGUAAAGCACUUUAAGUUGGGAGGAAGGGCAGUAAGCGAAUACCUUGCUGUUUUGACGUUACCGACAGAAUAAGCACCGGCUAACUCUGUGCCAGCAGCCGCGGUAAUACAGAGGGUGCAAGCGUUAAUCGGAAUUACUGGGGGUAAAGCGCGCGUAGGUGGUUCGUUAAGUUGAAUGUGAAUGCCCCGGGCUCAACCUGGGAACUGCAUGCAAAACUGGCGAGGAAGAGUAGAGCAGAGGGUGGUGGAAUGUCCUGUGUAGCGGUGAGAUGAGUAGAUAAAGGAAGGAACACAAGUGGCGAAGGCGACCACCUGGGCUCAUACUGACACUGAGGUGAGAGAGCGUGGGGAGCAAACAGA